UGGCUCAGGCGAAGCUUUACAGAAGCCGACUUGCUCGUGAAGAUAGAAAACCUGCUUCCGGUUCUUCAUUUCUGCAAGGACUUUUCCUCAGCAAACAUUUGUAACACUGGUUAUAUUUAUUUCAGUUCUUAAAAAAGCAUGGGACGAAUAGGAGAAAAUAGAGGAAUAUCAAGGUAAGAUCCUAGGAAAGGAUGCCUCAAAUUAAUUGAAGGCCCACUGAAAGGAGUCAGACAUAUCAUGCAAUAUGAAAUAACAUUCUUCAAAUUGUGCAAAGGAACUACCUUUGCUGUCCCAUUGGCUCGAUAGACAUCAAAGUAGUGUGAAAUGAUUCAGUCUCCGUCUAUUUACAACGUUAUUAUAUCCUGCCCAAAAAAGUAAAACUAAUUAUACCACCAUAAGUUUAUACAAACCACAUCAGACAUAUAUUAGAUCAAAACGGACAAGAAAGCAUCAACGAAGUUUGAAGAUUCCACCCUCUAGAUUAACAUUGGACUGUAGACUUGACAGCGAAAUCAGUUAUUUGUAGCUUCUUUCAACAAAGUUUGCAAAAGUUACACAAAAUAACCUUUUUUUUAACAUUGCCACUUUUUUUAGCAGAGCUCAAAUAACCUUGUUGUUCAAAUAUGAGAAAAGUUAUAGCUUAAUGAUUAACCAAAGUUCGUUUUCUUGAAAAAGUGUAUCAAACUUUUACGAGAAGGCUAUACAAUAUUUUACUAAACUAAAUUCUUUCAGGCUGUUCUUUAAAAUCAAGGCAUCCCUCAUCAAGUCAUACUUUUCUAGUACCUCCUACAAAUUCU
Molecule: long non-coding RNA, 797 nt
Filed under: Triticum aestivum (bread wheat)
Lineage: Eukaryota; Viridiplantae; Streptophyta; Magnoliopsida; Poales; Poaceae
Description: long non-coding RNA (TAES_LNC011099)
Source: RNAcentral